UGGGGCUUGGCUCAGUGGUAGAGUGCUCCCAUAGCAUGGGUGAGGCCGUGGGUUCAAUCCUCAGCAUCAC
RNAcentral lists this transfer RNA (70 nucleotides) under Marmota marmota marmota (Alpine marmot). It matches the Rfam family "tRNA". From Rfam's summary of the family: Transfer RNA (tRNA) molecules are approximately 80 nucleotides in length. Their secondary structure includes four short double-helical elements and three loops (D, anti-codon, and T loops). RNAcentral also lists the same sequence under 1 other name. The record is from Rfam by way of RNAcentral. Lineage: Eukaryota; Metazoa; Chordata; Mammalia; Rodentia; Sciuridae.